This 484-nucleotide ribosomal RNA is filed under the name uncultured bacterium. RNAcentral's name for it is "partial 16S ribosomal RNA". It matches the Rfam family "Bacterial small subunit ribosomal RNA", at positions 30 to 507 of the family's 1533-position model. The record is from RNAcentral.
AUUGAACGCUGGCGGCAGGCCUAACACAUGCAAGUCGAGCGGAUGAAGGGAGCUUGCUCCUGGAUUCAGCGGCGGACGGGUGAGUAAUGCCUAGGAAUCUGCCUGGUAGUGGGGGAUAACGUCCGGAAACGGGCGCUAAUACCGCAUACGUCCUGAGGGAGAAAGUGGGGGAUCUUCGGACCUCACGCUAUCAGAUGAGCCUAGGUCGGAUUAGCUAGUUGGUGGGGUAAAGGCCUACCAAGGCGACGAUCCGUAACUGGUCUGAGAGGAUGAUCAGUCACACUGGAACUGAGACACGGUCCAGACUCCUACGGGAGGCAGCAGUGGGGAAUAUUGGACAAUGGGCGACAGCCUGAUCCAGCCAUGCCGCGUGUGUGAAGAAGGUCUUCGGAUUGUAAAGCACUUUAAGUUGGGAGGAAGGGCAGUAAGUUAAUACCUUGCUGUUUUGACGUUACCAACAGAAUAAGCACCGGCUAACUUCGUG